CCAANGAUUUUAUUUAAUGGCCNCAGUAUUCUAACUGUGCAAAGGUAGCAUAAUCAUUUGUCUUUUAAUUGAAGGCUUGUAUGAAUGGUUUGACGAGAAGUAUACUUUCUUUAUUUUUAAAAAGGAAUUUAAUUUUUUAGUUAAAAAGCUCAAAUUUAUUUGAAGGACGAGAAGACCCUAUAGAGCUUUAUUAUAAUUAUUUUAUUUUAUUUUUGGUUAUUUAAAAUAAAAUAAUUUAUUUAUAAUUUCGUUGGGGUGAUGUGAAAAAUUAUAUAACUUUUCAUUAUACUCUCAUAAAUUAAUGUUUGAUUGAUCCAAUAUUAUUGAUUAUAAGAUUAAGCUACCUUAGGGAUAACAGCGUAAUUCUUUUGGAGAGUUCUUAUCGAUAAAAGAGUUUGCGACCUCGAUGUUGGAUUAAAAUAAGUAUUAGGUGUAGCCGCUUAAUAACUAGGUCUGUUCGACCUUUAAAAUUUUACA
This 477-nucleotide ribosomal RNA is filed under the name Pseudosaldula bergi. Its description in RNAcentral is "partial 16S ribosomal RNA". It matches the Rfam family "Bacterial large subunit ribosomal RNA", at positions 1912 to 2600 of the family's 2925-position model. The record is from RNAcentral. Lineage: Eukaryota; Metazoa; Arthropoda; Insecta; Hemiptera; Saldidae.